RNAcentral lists this ribosomal RNA (495 nucleotides) under uncultured bacterium. RNAcentral's name for it is "partial 16S ribosomal RNA". It matches the Rfam family "Bacterial small subunit ribosomal RNA", at positions 28 to 507 of the family's 1533-position model. The record is from RNAcentral.
GACGAACGCUGGCGGCGUGCCUAAUACAUGCAAGUAGAACGCUGAAGGAGGAGCUUGCUCUUCUGGAUGAGUUGCGAAAGGGUGAGUAUCGCGUAGGUAACAUGCCUGGUAUAGGGGGAUAACACUUGGAAACGAUAGAUAAUACAGCAUAAUAGAAGAGGUUGCAUGAUAUUUAUUUAAAAAGUGCAAUUGCGCCACUAUAAGAUGGAGCUGCGUUGUAUUAGCUAGUUGGUGGGGUAACGGCUCACCAAGGCGACGAUACAUAGCCGACCUGAGAGGGGGAUCGGCCACACUGGGACUGAGACACGGCCCAGACUCCUACGGGAGGCAGCAGUAGGGAAUCUUCGGCAAUGGACGAAAGUCUGACCGAGCAACGCCGCGUGAGUGAAGAAGGUUUUCGGAUCGUAAAGCUCUGUUGUAAGAGAAGAACGAGUGUGAGAGUGGAAAGUUCACACUGUGACGGUAGCUUACCAGAAAGGGACGGCUAACUACGUG